GUGAGUUCUCACAAGAUCUGGUCGUUUGAAACUGUGUAGCACUUCCCCUUUUGCUCUCGCUCUCUCCUGCUGACAGUGAGAAGAUGGGCUUGCUUCCCCUUCACCCUUUGCCAGGAUUGUAAGUUUCCUGAGGCUUCUGUACAGCCUGCAGAACUAUGAGCAUGCAGAGGUCAGGACAAGAGCAGCUGGUCCAGCCACACUGUGUGCACAGGGACAGGCCUGUCUUCACCUGUGCUCACCGGGGCCUCUUCCAGAGGUCUCUGCAGCAGAAAGCAUGUGCUCCACGUACCGGCCCCCAGCGUCCCACCAGACCAGCGCCGAUCCCUGUGGGAGCUGAAGAGGAACUGUGCUGAAUGAGAACAUUUAAAGUGAAUCAUGUGUGGACUCCCUAUGCUCCCUGACUCCUUGUUUAUUUCUACCUUUUCUGGCGGAUGCUAUUAAUAAAAUGCUAGGAAAAUCUUUAAACAUGACAUGAGUCAAGGGUACAGAGCUCUCAGUUCAGGCCCUCAGUGCCUAAGAAGCAAAUUUUAUUUGUUUUUUAGAAUGCCACGUAGUUUUCUAUUUCAAGCUCCCCUUCUCUCAAGGCAGAUAAAACUCUGCUUCCAAUCAUGAAGAUGCCCUCCUUUGCCCCCUGGUGUAUUGACGAGAUUCGAGGGCAGGGCUCUGGGUCCUCAGAACCAUCUCUCCAUGCAGCAUCUCCUGCAAGAUCCGUCUCUCAUCCGACCUUGGCUCUGAGUCUGUGAAGGUCACUGCUAAAUUGUCGGUGACAUCUCUGUCAUUUCCAGCCCCUCGUGUCCACCAGGGAUUCUCACUGGCCCUAGGUUCUCAGCAGCUUAGACUGGCAUGUUUUCUCUAGCGUCCUG
This 863-nucleotide long non-coding RNA is filed under the name Homo sapiens (human). RNAcentral describes it as "HSALNT0131388". Lineage: Eukaryota; Metazoa; Chordata; Mammalia; Primates; Hominidae. The record is from RNAcentral.